GACCCUCGUAUUACGUACUUGGCACGUAGAAUUCUAAAACCGGGAAAACUCGGAAAUAUUUUCACCGUUAUCGUUUUGUGCACUAUGACACGCAAAACCAUGGACGCUCACGCGAUCAGCCUCAGCAUUCUACAGCUGUUUAGUUAAGUUUUAAGAAUGGACAGAGAUAGAUUCUACUUCUUCUACUACUUCUAAACAGAUAAAUUGAAUUGGGUGACUUGUCCAUUAACUAGAAGAAACCGGGGAACGAAACAUAGAAAUGAAAGUACAGAGAAAGUCAACGCAACGAAAGUUCGAAAUGUCGAAAGUGGUUUUGUUUUCAUGUAUCACGUACAUUUAUGUACCUCAAAAAGGAAACGAAUGCAUUUUCCAUGGAAGUACAUGUACUUCAAAAAGAAGACGAAGCUAAGCAACAGAAUGCAAUUCUCUGAGGCAUUGAUUUACAUGAUGUGCAUAUAAAGAGCAGCUGGCAAUUAUUUUAUGAUGAGAGCUUGUUACCAAAUGAAAGGAAAGUGCAGUAUUAGAAUCACUGAGGUACAUGUUACGAUGUACAUAUGCAUGUAGGUGCAGAUCUAGAUGUCCUGUAAAAAAAACCUGGUAUUAAAGAACUGAAAAGUAAAGAAACAGAACCAAAGAACAUUCCUUUUAAAUUAAUACAAUAUUGAACUCAA
This is a long non-coding RNA of Mytilus trossulus (common blue mussel), 671 nucleotides long. RefSeq lists it as uncharacterized. The record is from RefSeq and is a predicted model, not a curated record. Lineage: Eukaryota; Metazoa; Mollusca; Bivalvia; Mytilida; Mytilidae. The transcript is spliced from 4 exons.